Molecule: transfer RNA, 63 nt
Filed under: Pseudomonas peli
Lineage: Bacteria; Pseudomonadati; Pseudomonadota; Gammaproteobacteria; Pseudomonadales; Pseudomonadaceae
Description: tRNA_Ser_TGA
Rfam family: tRNA
About the family: Transfer RNA (tRNA) molecules are approximately 80 nucleotides in length. Their secondary structure includes four short double-helical elements and three loops (D, anti-codon, and T loops). Further hydrogen bonds mediate the characteristic L-shaped molecular structure. tRNAs have two regions of fundamental functional importance: the anti-codon, which is responsible for specific mRNA codon recognition, and the 3' end, to which the tRNAs corresponding amino acid is attached (by aminoacyl-tRNA synthetases). tRNAs cope with the degeneracy of the genetic code in two manners: having more than one tRNA (with a specific anti-codon) for a particular amino acid; and 'wobble' base-pairing, i.e. permitting non-standard base-pairing at the 3rd anti-codon position.
Source: RNAcentral
GGAAGCGUGGCAGAGCGGUUGAAUGCAACGGUCUUGAAAACCGUCGAAGGGGAAACUCUUCCG